UUUCCGUAGGUGAACCUGCGGAAGGAUCAUUAUAGAGUUCAUGCCCUACCGGGUAGAUCUCCCACCCUAUGUUAUUAUUACUUUGUUGCUUUGGCGGGCCGUUAGGCUCCGGCCCGACUACCGGCCCCGGCUGGUAAGCGCCCGCCAGAGGACCCAAAACCCUGAAUAUUAGUGUCGUCUGAGUACUAUAUAAUAGUUAAAACUUUCAACAACGGAUCUCUUGGUUCUG
Molecule: unclassified non-coding RNA, 229 nt
Filed under: plant metagenome
Description: partial contains small subunit ribosomal RNA, internal transcribed spacer 1, and 5.8S ribosomal RNA
Source: RNAcentral